CAUGCAAGUAGGACGCACAGUUUAUACCGUAGCUUGCUACACCAUAGACUGUGAGUUGCGAACGGGUGAGUAACGCGUAGGUAACCUGCCUAUUAGAGGGGGAUAACUAUUGGAAACGAUAGCUAAUACCGCAUAACAGUAUGUAACACAUGUUAGAUGCUUGAAAGAUGCAAUUGCAUCGCUAGUAGAUGGACCUGCGUUGUAUUAGCUAGUAGGUAGGGUAAUGGCCUACCUAGGCGACGAUACAUAGCCGACCUGAGAGGGUGAUCGGCCACACUGGGACUGAGACACGGCCCAGACUCCUACGGGAGGCAGCAGUAGGGAAUCUUCGGCAAUGGGGGGAACCCUGACCGAGCAACGCCGCGUGAGUGAAGAAGGUUUUCGGAUCGUAAAGCUCUGUUGUUAAGGAAGAACGAGUGUGAGAAUGGAAAGUUCAUACUGUGACGGUACUUAACCAGAAAGGGACGG
Molecule: ribosomal RNA, 468 nt
Filed under: Streptococcus anginosus
Lineage: Bacteria; Bacillati; Bacillota; Bacilli; Lactobacillales; Streptococcaceae
Description: bacterial SSU rRNA
Rfam family: Bacterial small subunit ribosomal RNA
Source: RNAcentral